UGGUCGGGAUAGCUCAGCUGGUAGAGCA
Molecule: transfer RNA, 28 nt
Filed under: Whytockia sasakii
Lineage: Eukaryota; Viridiplantae; Streptophyta; Magnoliopsida; Lamiales; Gesneriaceae
Also listed under: 1 other name
Description: partial transfer RNA-Phe
Source: RNAcentral